CCUGGGAGCUGGUGCAGACGCAAAGCGCAUGCUGCUGGAUAAAUUUUUAGAUGUGAAAUUUCUGGAUCAAGUGGUCAUCAUUUGUUUCUGCAUCAUUUAUUGAAUAAUCCAGCAUUCUUCCACUGAUUUGAAAUGGAAACAAUUGUUCUCUUGUUAGGUAGGGUGUAGCUUUCCACAGGUCGGCCAUUUUCUUUCUACCUAAGGUGGUUACAUUCCACAAUACUACUCCUACCUUCUUAACAGCUUCUGAAAGCAUUCCAAUGUGUCAUAGUCAUGCUUAUGCACUUCAAGAAUUCUAGGCACAUUCAGUUUCAGGCAGAUGCUUUCAAACAGGAUUUUAAAAUUAAUUACUUAAAAAUUUUAUCAGAUCUUUUCUUACAAAUUAAAAUUGAGAAAUCUGAAUAUAAAUCACUGAUCCAGAUGUGCUUAUUCCUUUUAAACACACCUGAAUUCUAAUUUUGUGUUAAAAAAAAUACCCCUUAGGUUAGUGUUACUUCUAAGGUUCUUCCUUCAAACCUCUUUUUUUUUACUCCUCAAGUGCUUGGAGAAUUAAAGCUGUCUGGACUCA
Long non-coding RNA from Pipistrellus kuhlii (Kuhl's pipistrelle), 568 nucleotides. RefSeq lists it as uncharacterized. Lineage: Eukaryota; Metazoa; Chordata; Mammalia; Chiroptera; Vespertilionidae. The record is from RefSeq and is a predicted model, not a curated record. The transcript is spliced from 3 exons.